Molecule: ribosomal RNA, 253 nt
Filed under: uncultured bacterium
Lineage: Bacteria
Description: partial 16S ribosomal RNA
Rfam family: Bacterial small subunit ribosomal RNA
Source: RNAcentral
GACGAGGGAUCCUAGCGUUGUUCGGAAUCAUUGGGCGUAAAGCGGGUGUAGGCGGCCUGACAAGUCAGAUGUGAAAGCCCAGGGCUUAACCCUGGAAGUGCAUUUGAUACUGUCGGGCUUGAAUGUGGGAGAGGGUAGUGGAAUUCCUGGUGUAGUGGUGAAAUACGUAGAUAUCAGGAGGAACACCGGUGGCGAAGGCGGCUACCUGGCCCAACAUUGACGCUCAGACCCGAAAGCGUGGGGAUCAAACAGG